GUUCCUGCUCCGGCUCCUGCGGGGAUGGAUGCUUCACGCAGUAAGCGAGACACCUUACCUGGAUCCGCCUUUGUAGCCUCCUCCUGGCUCUGGGGGCUGUCCUGUGGGGUCCGAGUAGCUGAAAGACAGCCCCUCCAUGUGAGGAAGCCCCCAACUGGGGAAAACCCCCUCGUGGACUCAUUCCUGUCCCUGCAUGUGGCCUUCACCUGACUGUCUGCAUUGAGGCAUCCUCUGCCAAGAGCAAUUUCAAAGUGGCAGGAAAGUGCUGCUUUCAACAUCUGCCACAUUUGCAAGAAGAGCAAAGGUGGCCCAUUUGAGACCACCCUUGAACUAAACCAUCCAGUGAGCCCCUGAGGUCGGGACAGAAGUGGCCAUGACCUUCCUCAAGCAGGGACUGUGGUGGAGCCCACCUUAUCCAGCACAAGGUGGCCUGCUGACUUCUGGUGACAGUGAUGCCAACUUCCUGGCUGUCCAAGGUUCAAAUCUUGGUCUUAAUCCUCCUGGCCUUCUCUCAUCAAUGGCCAGAGCCACCCUAGCUAACAAGGUGCCCAGGGACUCCGGGGUGGGAGAAGUCCAGCUUCUUCUUAGCUGAGGACAUUUGAGUCUCGUCACAGCCCCCAAAAGAAUACUCAUUUUUGUAGCUGGAGGGCCUGGCCUCUGUCUAUCUUUGCUUUUCCAGAAGCUGACAAGUACCUGCCGGAAAAACUGCCUCUUUUCCCUCCCGUGCUUGGAGCAGGCAUUGCUGACAGAUCACAGCUGCUGGGCCCAAAGGUCCCUUUGCACGCGGGACUUCAGGAAGUUGCUGCUGACCUAUGGGAGUUGGUGCAGAAAGAUGAAAUUUGUUAUCCUUGGCUGUAUCAACUCUCUCUCCUCUCCUUGGUGGUGAUAGUUUUGUUCUUAAAAGCCUCUUGUGAGAGAAUUUGUGGAUGAAGAACCUGUAAGAUCACAAGUGAAACAA
This 958-nucleotide long non-coding RNA is filed under the name Homo sapiens (human). RNAcentral's name for it is "HSALNT0378941". The record is from RNAcentral. Lineage: Eukaryota; Metazoa; Chordata; Mammalia; Primates; Hominidae.